AAAAAAAAAAUAGAAGAAGACCUAAAAGAACGUGGCUCCUAUACUAGAAGAUGACUGGCAAGAAAGAAAAUGAUGACAAUCAGAAGGAUAGGAAAUACUUGAAUGGAUGAAGAAUUUGAAAAUUUGUUAUGAAUGGGUUCAUGACUACCAGGAAGGUGAAGAUGUAGAAUAAGUCGAUGCCACUGAAUCAAGGGAUGAAUGGAUUGAGGAUCGGCUACAAUGACACCUUUGACAUAU
This is a long non-coding RNA of Coccinella septempunctata (seven-spotted ladybird), 237 nucleotides long. RefSeq lists it as uncharacterized. The transcript is spliced from 3 exons. The record is from RefSeq and is a predicted model, not a curated record. Lineage: Eukaryota; Metazoa; Arthropoda; Insecta; Coleoptera; Coccinellidae.